CCGAAGAGUUCUUUUAUUUUUAUUGUUUUUGGUAUACGAUUCAAAAAAGUAAGAUAGGCAGCCUACAUUGGUCUUUUAAGUCAGUCACUUGGAACCGCAAAAACAAUUGAACUUAGUCUCGUGCCUGAGAUUGAAGAAUAGAGAAUGAGGAGGAGAGAGAAAGUCAAACCCAAUUUGGUCUUGAAGGAUCCUCUAUUUAUAGUCAACCUACACUCAAAAGAUGUAGCAGCUCGAGCAUCAUCCUUCUACCAAAGAGGACGGAAGAUUCACCAACUAAACUCUUUGACGCAUGGGAAUUUGAUGCUUCUCAUCAUCAAUUUCACCUGAGUUGCCAGUGGGUGUUCACCUGAAUGUUGCUCAUCUUCCUUCAAAAUUACAGAAAUAUAUGACUUUGUCAAGAUCCCAAUCAUAGAUAGCAAAACUGGGCAUCCAUUUCUUCUGUGCAUCCUCCGAUGGCACAGCUAAUUGUACAUAGAUGAUGAACUAACCCAACCUGGGUUUUGAGAUCCAUUACUAUUAAUAAUUUCAAACAACAAGCCAAAAUAAGACAUUUUAGGAUCCAUAGAGAUCUUACAGCGAACAUGGCACAGAGCUUAUAGCUUACUGAUUCUUGGAACAACAUAUGUAAACAAAUAGAAUGCAUAUUAGCAAUGAAGUAACGAUGAGUUUGAGUGAAAUUGAUCAUAUUACACAAAUUCAACCAAAACCUAAGCUCCUAAGUUGUGAACCAAACCAAUCCAUAAUGAUAUAGAACUAACCUCUUAGUCCUACAACAAAUUCUAGUCAAUUUCAGAACAUCCUCCUAAAGUUACCACAAAGUUAAAACAAGACGGGAGCAAGCAAUCUCCAUUGAACUCCAAGUGGUAAUAAUUAUAACCUCAAAACACAACGAGAACAAGAAGUAUCAGUAAUAGACAUUUAAAUUUCAACCGGUGCUUCUUAUUCUUACAGCACCAGAUUAUAUAACUUAAAAGAGUAUAUAAAAUAUAUACACAGUACAACAGAGAGCUAGGCUACAUGCACAAAACAUAUUCAUUCACAUUUCACAAGAAUUUCUAACCUCCAAAAUGAUUUCUUAAAACAAGUCCGGAUCCUUAAAGAGAGCACACUUACCUCUAGACAAACUUUUCAAUAGAUGCGACCAGGGUACUCUCUGGCACAGCUCCAAUAACAGCAUCUUUCUUCUCACCAUUUUUGAAGAUCAUCAUAGUUGGGAUGCUUCGAAUCCCAUAUUGAGUUGCAAUGUCAGGGCUUUCAUCAGU
RNAcentral lists this long non-coding RNA (1262 nucleotides) under Musa acuminata (dwarf banana). Its description in RNAcentral is "long non-coding RNA (MACU_LNC000004)". The record is from RNAcentral. Lineage: Eukaryota; Viridiplantae; Streptophyta; Magnoliopsida; Zingiberales; Musaceae.